Molecule: ribosomal RNA, 456 nt
Filed under: Triticum aestivum (bread wheat)
Lineage: Eukaryota; Viridiplantae; Streptophyta; Magnoliopsida; Poales; Poaceae
Description: partial small subunit ribosomal RNA
Source: RNAcentral
AUGAUUUCUAACGACUUAACCUCUACUCCUAGUGUGUUUUCUUCUUUGGUGCUAGGUCUCCUACAUGACGACAUGCUUAUCCUCGAUGAGUCCAUCCCUCCAAUGGACAAAAUGAUGGCCAUGGUGGACGAUAAUGCACCCCCACAUGGUUCCAUCAAGAUGAAGAUGACAACGAGACGAUCUUCAACACCUCACCUACAACACAUGUGCGACGCUCCAAAGGAGUUGACGAAACGAGCUCUUGAGAGCAACGAUGCUUUGGGAUCCCGUGGACUAUCCUUACCACCGUUCCCUUCGCGCAAGGACUACGCGCAUCUCUUUUACUUGUCUCUCACACGGCUAUGGGCUAUUUACCACUUGUCACCUUAUGCUCAUUUUCCCGUGUUCACUUGCAUGUAUUCCUUGUUUCUAUGCCUUUGCCAUGCAAUUGUGACCCUUGUUUGCAUCUACCCAUGA